Long non-coding RNA from Passer domesticus (house sparrow), 494 nucleotides. RefSeq lists it as uncharacterized. Lineage: Eukaryota; Metazoa; Chordata; Aves; Passeriformes; Passeridae. The record is from RefSeq and is a predicted model, not a curated record. The transcript has 2 exons.
UGUAAACAUCAUCUUCUACAGGCUGGAUGAAGAAAGAGACAUUUUCUUUGUCCAGGUUGUUUCUGACAUUGUGGGACACAGUGCUGUGACAUCAUUUUGCUAUCCCUGUUGGUAUCCAUGCCCAGGUAAUUCUGGGCUCUACACCUGUCCCAGACCUUUUCAAAAGCAUUUGUAAUGAGGGUUUGGCUGUAGUUAGAGCAAGGGUGGAUGUCUGCCUCUCAGCCCUCUGGGCCAUCACUGCCACUCUUGGACACUGAGAGUAUGCCAGCUCUGUUGACAAAUUCCAUCACAGAUAAGAUAGGUGUGGAGAUGUCUCAACGUUUCUACACAUCUGGAUCUUCCUAUCCAUGAUGCCCAGCAUUCACUGUUUGGAAGAGAAGUGCCUGGGUGUUCUGCCAAGCACAGUGGACAUUCAGCCUACACUGAAUACUGCUGUACCUGGAAACACUGCUGUUCACAAAGCUAGGUGGUAAAAUUGUACAAAAUAUGGGUAA